This 491-nucleotide ribosomal RNA is filed under the name uncultured bacterium. RNAcentral describes it as "bacterial SSU rRNA". It matches the Rfam family "Bacterial small subunit ribosomal RNA", at positions 28 to 497 of the family's 1533-position model. The record is from RNAcentral.
GAUGAACGCUAGCGGCAGGCUUAAUACAUGCAAGUCGAGGGGCAUCAAGGUACACGAAAGUGUAUUGUUGGCGACCGGCGGACGGGUGAGUAAUAGGUAGGUAACCUACCUCAUACUGAGGCAUAGCUGGGAGAAAUUCCAGGUAAUUCCUCAUGAGGUUAUAUGACACAUGUGAUAUAAUCAAAGGUAUCGCAAGGUACUGGUAUGAGAUGGGCUUACUGACCAUUAGCUAGUUGGUGAGAUAAGAGCUCACCAAGGCGAAGAUGGUUAGGGGUUUUGAGAGAGAGAUCCCCCACAUUGGAACUGAGAUACGGUCCAGACUCCUACGGGAGGCAGCAGUAGGGAAUAUUGGGCAAUGGGCGGAAGCCUGACCCAGCCAUGCCGCGUGAAGGAAGACGGCCUUAUGGGUUGUAAAACUUCUUUAACUAUGCGACUAAACUAGAUUUACGAGAAUAAUUCUAUAGAAUGUAGCAUAAGCAAAAAGCACCGGA